UCUUUGCAAGAAAUGACAUGAGCAAAGUUGCUCUCAUCUAAAUUGGUGGCAAUUAUGCCAAAAGCCUUCUUUUCUCGUCUUUUGAACUCCUUAUGCUCCUUGAUGCUUGCCUCUACCCCAGGUGCCUCUUCCUCCUCACAUACAAUCUCCCAAAGAUCCAAUGACGCCAAAAGUAGCUCCAUUUUGGCCUUCCAAUGGUGAAAGUUGUCACCUUUGAACUUUUCAACCAUUCUCAAGCUAUCACCCUCAAAAGAUGCCAUCUCAAGCUACACAUAGGUCCAAAAAACUCUUGAUUUGGAGUUGUAAUGGAGAAGAUAUCACUACUCAAAGAUCGCUGAACCACAAACCCAGAAUUCGCUGUUUUGCAACUUUUUGUAAAUUAUGAGUCCAAAUCACGUCUAAAUGGUGGGGAAUGAAUUGUAAAGUAAUUCUAUGGCUCUCAUUAGUCUCCCUCACGUCACUCCACUCAAAAUGACUCACUAUCUCAUAAAACUUUCAAACACUAGUGUUACUUCAGCAAAGACACUAUCAAGGUCUUGCACAAAACUCAUAUACUCACAAAUCCAGG
RNAcentral lists this long non-coding RNA (568 nucleotides) under Physcomitrium patens. Its description in RNAcentral is "long non-coding RNA (PPAT_LNC010124)". The record is from RNAcentral. Lineage: Eukaryota; Viridiplantae; Streptophyta; Bryopsida; Funariales; Funariaceae.